RNAcentral lists this RNase P RNA (372 nucleotides) under Desulfovibrionaceae bacterium. RNAcentral describes it as "RNase P RNA component class A". It matches the Rfam family "Bacterial RNase P class A". Rfam says of the family: Ribonuclease P (RNase P) is a ubiquitous endoribonuclease, found in archaea, bacteria and eukarya as well as chloroplasts and mitochondria. Its best characterised activity is the generation of mature 5'-ends of tRNAs by cleaving the 5'-leader elements of precursor-tRNAs. Cellular RNase Ps are ribonucleoproteins. Lineage: Bacteria; Pseudomonadati; Thermodesulfobacteriota; Desulfovibrionia; Desulfovibrionales; Desulfovibrionaceae. The record is from RNAcentral.
GGAGCCGGACGGGCCAUCGCCGCGGACCGCAAGGUCCGGGGAGGAAAGUCCGGGCUUCGCAGGGCACGACGCUGGGUAACUCCCAGGAGGAGCGAUCCUCGGACAGCGCCACAGAAAGCAAACCGCCGCGCGGCAAGUCCGCGCGGUAAGGGUGAAACGGUGGGGCAAGAGCCCACCAGUUGCCGCGGCGACGCGGCAAGCUCGGCAUACCCCGUCGGAAGCAAGGCCAAAUAGGGGGGCGCACGGACCGGCCCGGUUCAUGCCCCCGGGUAGGCUGCUGGAGGCCGGGAGCAAUCCCGGUCCUAGAGGAAUGAUGGCCGCCCGGGCCGCAAGGCCCGGGAACAGAACCCGGCUUACAGUCCGGCUCCCAUU